Molecule: ribosomal RNA, 510 nt
Filed under: Triatoma jurbergi
Lineage: Eukaryota; Metazoa; Arthropoda; Insecta; Hemiptera; Reduviidae
Description: eukaryotic LSU rRNA
Rfam family: Eukaryotic large subunit ribosomal RNA
Source: RNAcentral
UCUUUUAAAUGAUUUGAGAUGGCCUCUCGCCCUAUUCAGUGUAACAGCUGUGGUAGUGGGUUUGGUCGCUCGCAUUUAAAUAGGAAGGGUAAUGGUGGACCGCACUUCUCCCUUAGUAGGACGUUGCGACCUGUCAAAUAAUAGCCUAAGUAUUUGGCUAAUUUGUCUGUUUUUAGGCAGUACUGAAAGGUAUUUCCUUUAACAGUUUUAGCCGUUAACAUACUGGAUAUAAUUGACAGUAACGAAUCAUGGUGUUGAGCCACUUACUUUGUAAGUGUCCUUUAUGGCUGUUUGCAAGUGGGUUGGUUAAUUAGUUUUAGUCGGAUUUUGGUCCGUCUAACUAUUCCGCCUACUGUUGGUAAACUGUUCCUUGGACAGUGCUUAUAACACCGGUCGGCAGCAAUUCAGGUUCAGGCUCUUAUCCGACCCGUCUUGAAACACGGACCAAGGAGUUUAGCGUGUACGCAAGUCAUUGGGUGUAUAAAACCCAAAGGCGCAAUGAAAUUGAAA